Molecule: ribosomal RNA, 65 nt
Filed under: Bacillota bacterium
Lineage: Bacteria; Bacillati; Bacillota
Description: Firmicutes bacterium (anaerobic digester metagenome) partial 16S ribosomal RNA
Rfam family: Bacterial small subunit ribosomal RNA
Source: RNAcentral
AAUCUUUCACGGAGAGUUUGAUCCUGGCUCAGGACGAACGCUGGCGGCGUGCCUAAUACAUGCAA